This 306-nucleotide unclassified non-coding RNA is filed under the name uncultured Saccotheciaceae. RNAcentral describes it as "sequence contains ITS1". The stretch from base 1 to 105 matches the Rfam family "5.8S ribosomal RNA", at positions 50 to 154 of the family's 154-position model. The record is from RNAcentral. Lineage: Eukaryota; Fungi; Ascomycota; Dothideomycetes; Dothideales; Saccotheciaceae.
GAAAUGCGAUAAGUAAUGUGAAUUGCAGAAUUCAGUGAAUCAUCGAAUCUUUGAACGCACAUUGCGCCCCUUGGUAUUCCGAGGGGCAUGCCUGUUCGAGCGUCAUUACACCACUCAAGCUAUGCUUGGUAUUGGGCGUCGUCCUUAGUUGGGCGCGCCUUAAAGACCUCGGCGAGGCCUCACCGGCUUUAGGCGUAGUAGAAUUUAUUCAAUUAACGUCUGUCAAUGGAGAGGACUUCUGCCGACUGAAACCUUUAUUUUUUACAGGUUGACCUCGGAUCAGGUAGGGAUACCCGCUGAACUUAA